RNAcentral lists this long non-coding RNA (467 nucleotides) under Homo sapiens (human). RNAcentral describes it as "HSALNT0369652". Lineage: Eukaryota; Metazoa; Chordata; Mammalia; Primates; Hominidae. The record is from RNAcentral.
AGUCCACAGAAAUAUCUGAUUUCAAAGAGAUGCUUGCAUUCUGUACUGAUGCCAUCUAGAAUUGUAAAUGACCAGUGUCACACUGCUAAGUGGAGAAAGCGUGAAAGAAGAAUCCCAUCAGUACAUUCACGAUAGAGGAAAUAAGAAACAAUGAAAGCCACAAGUUUACUCGAAGGCAGCAAAAUUGGCCCUACUCCCAACCCUGCAACAUGCACCAUUUCCAUAAACAAUCUACAGAGAUGGCUGAGAAAAAGAAAAAGGGGUACUCUCCUUUACCCCUUCUCCAAAGCCCGAUGAAGUAAAGAGUAGAAAUCAAGAGUGUCUACAAGAAUUGGGGAUUGGCAUUGAUUCUCCACUGUGUGAUUACUCAUGCUUUAUGGCAAUGUGCCUAUUUAAAGGGCAGGUAAUGACUUAGCAAGAAGGAAGGAGAGAGAAUGUCAAACUCACCUGAAGUCUUACCAAUUGGU